Molecule: ribosomal RNA, 259 nt
Filed under: uncultured prokaryote
Description: partial 16S ribosomal RNA
Rfam family: Bacterial small subunit ribosomal RNA
Source: RNAcentral
UACGGAGGAUCCGAGCGUUAUCCGGAUUUAUUGGGUUUAAAGGGUGCGCAGGCGGGAAAUUAAGUCGGCGGUGAAAUUUUGCAGCUUAACUGUAACAGUGCCGUUGAUACUGGGGAGCUAGGAUUUGGUUGCUGUGGGUGGAAUGUGUGGUGUAGCGGUGAAAUGCUUAGAGAUCACACAGAAUAUCGAUUGCGAAGGCAGCUCACAAAGCCAAGAUUGACGCUGAGGCACGAAAGUGUGGGGAUCAAACAGGAUUAGA